Molecule: long non-coding RNA, 2011 nt
Filed under: Ananas comosus (pineapple)
Lineage: Eukaryota; Viridiplantae; Streptophyta; Magnoliopsida; Poales; Bromeliaceae
Description: long non-coding RNA (ACOM_LNC043904)
Source: RNAcentral
AUUUUAUUUUAUUUUUUUUAAAAUCAGUGAUAAAGUUAAAAUUAAAGGGUACUAAAGUGAAUAUUUGAUAAAUCUUGCUGGGUAUCUGAAGUUUUUUAUAUAUAAUUUAAUGAAAUAUUAACGAAAAAGCUACCGAAAAGAUAAAAAUGAAACCACAGGGGGGGGCAAAUUGAUACACUUUAAAUUACAGGGUACUAAAGUGAGAAAAAACGAAACCACAAGGGCCGUUUUUGAAGUUUUACCAAAAAAACAUUAAGAGUUCGGUGAGUUAUUUUCGAAAUAGCUUAUUUUCACCCAAGAAGAAACAGGUUAAUUGCACAUUAGUCCUUGACAUUUAAACAACUUUUUAUUUUGUUACCAAACUCUCUCUCUCUCUCUCUCUUUCUUUUUUUACUUUUCUACGAUCAGAUUCUUAAUAUUUAAAUUAGUCACAUUGCUUCUCUCUAACCUUCUUCACUCUUUUUCUUUUCUUUUUUUUCUUUUUUUUUUUUUAAUGCUUUAGGGACUGUUUGGUUCCACGUAAAAUUAUAAAAGAAAAAUUCAGUGACAGAAAAAUUUUCGGAGGAAAAUAAAUUUUACGCUUCUUAGUGUUUGGUUUGUAGAAAACAAAAAAUAAUUUUUCAUUACGGUUAUUUGGUUGAGUGGUCUCCCUAGGAUUGAGUGGUCUCUACUGGGUUAUAAUAUUUAAUCCAAUAGUUAGAAAUAAUGAAAGGAAUUGAUCCAAAGGCUAAAAACUUGAUAGUAAAAAAAAAAAACUUUGCUAUUAAUAGUAUUCUAACCCAACUCUACAUAUGUAUAUUGAUUACGAGACUCCAAUUAUUACUUUUUAAAAAAUAUUUAUUUUCGAUAGGUUAUUUUUAUGUCAAAUUAAUGGAUAAUAAAAUAAUAUCAAAAAAAAAUAAAAUUUGAUUUCUAAAUUUUUCAAGUGGUAUAGAUCAUAUUUAACGGUAUCGAUCGUCGAUUUAGAUGCUCCAUUAUCGAAAACAAAUGGAUGACAAUGAAAUCAGUUUGCUACUCAAAGCGUUCCAACUCAACUCUAUAUAUAUAUAUAUAUAUAUAUAUAUAUAUAUAUAUAUAUAUAUAUAUAUAUAUAUAUAUAUAUAUAUAUAAGCGUAUAGAAAUUCCGACAAUGACAGACGGAAUCUAAAACGGAAUAAAAUAAUAUUCCCUCCGAAAAAGGAAUAAAAUAAUAUUCUCUACGAAUGGUUAUGAUUAAUUUGUUAAAAAUAUCUCAAAUAGAAACAAACGGUUAUAAUCAAUCUAUUAAAUCUCUACUAUAUUUAAAAAGGAAUAAAAUAAUAUUCCAUACAAAUGGUUAUGAUUAAUUUAUUAAAAAUAUCUCAAAUAAAAACGAACGGUUAUGAUCAAUCUAUUAAAUCUCUACUAUAUAUAAAAAUCUAUUCCUAAUGGUUAUGAUUAAUUUGUUAAAAAAAAUAUCUCAAAUAAGAACAUGCAUGAUCAAUUUAUUAAAAAAUAGCAUUCAUAUCUAUCUAUAAAUUCAAUCCUACUAAUGAUUAUAAUCAAUUUGUUAAAAAAUAUCUCAAAUAAAAACAAAUGGUUAUGAUCAAUUUGUUAAAAAAUACGAUUCCUAUUUAUCUAUUUUACAUUAAAAUUAAAAUUUGAGUUUAAAUUAUGAAUUAAAUUUAAUUUUUGAUAUCAAAUCUGAAUUAACAAUUAAUUUUUUUAUUACAGUGGAUCAAAAUUAAAAUUUAAAUUUUAAAGUAAAUGUGAAUUAAAUUUUGAUGCUUUUAGUUCAAAACACAUAUCUAAAUUUGAUUAAUAAAAAAUCAAAAAAUAUAUAGAAAUGUUCGAUGUAUAUAAAAAAAAGAAUAUUGUAGGAUAUUGUAAAUAUUUUCUAAUAAAAUAUAACUUAUUAAAUUAUAAAUAUAAUUUUUAUUGUAAGAUUUUAAAUAUAUAUAAUGUAUAAAUUUAUAUUGAUUUAAUAAAUUAUAAUAAUUGUUACGUGCAUUUGCACGUACAUUCAACUAGUAUAUAUAUAUAUAUAUAUAUA